GUGCAGCAGGCGAGAAUUUUUCUCAAUGGGGGCAACCCUGAAGGAGUGACGCCGCGUGGAGGAUGAAGGCUUUCGGGUUGUAAACUCCUGUCAUUUGAGAACAAGUGUAGCCAAAUAACUACUGGCUACUUGAUAGUAUCAGAAGAGGAAGGGACGGCUAACUCUGUGCCAGCAGCCGCGGUAAUACAGAGGUCCCAAGCGUUGUUCGGAUUCAUUGGGCGUAAAGGGUGCGUAGGUGGCGCCGUAAGUGGGGUGUGAAAUUUCGGAGCUUAACUCCGAAACUGCAUUCCAUACUGCGGUGCUUGAGGACUGGAGAGGAGACUGGAAUUCAUGGUGUAGCAGUGAAAUGCGUAGAGAUCAUGAGGAAGACCAGUGGCGAAGGCGGGUCUCUGGACAGUUCCUGACACUGAGGCACGAAGGCUAGGGGAGCGAACGGGAUUAGAUACCCCUGUAGU
RNAcentral lists this ribosomal RNA (455 nucleotides) under uncultured organism. RNAcentral's name for it is "bacterial SSU rRNA". It matches the Rfam family "Bacterial small subunit ribosomal RNA", at positions 346 to 794 of the family's 1533-position model. The record is from RNAcentral.